AAAGACACUCCCCCUAGUGAUACAUGUCGGAUACUUCAGAUUGUCACGCUGUGGGGGAAAUACGAUGUCUGGAAGCGCCCUUUCACAACGCUAGUCGUCCCAAGGCGCUUGACAUGGAUGUGUUGUAAUACAUUACAACAUCAUUAGACAGAGUAAUACAUAAUGGCAAGACCACCGUGCUACUGGCUUGCAUUCACAUUCUCCGAGUACUACUUACUUUAAGGGACAAUGCGCCAAGAUGGCAGUGCGAUGCGAUUCUGCAAUGCUUUUGAAUCCCUCCUAUACACAGGGUUGCCAUCUCUCACACAUCUGGUGUGACAGUCACGCUUUCAAACUCUCACGCUCACACAAGCAAUAUUACGGUAAAUCUAUAUUAUUCCAUUAUAAACCUAAAAUUAGCUAUCUCAAAAGCAUUGGGGUAGUUUGCAAACCCUACAGACCAUUUACAAGGUAAUAAAAUUGUUACAUACAAGUAAAUGCGUGUGCAGACUUGUAUCAAAUUGAAAAUCUCACGCCAGCCACCUGACCUAAGUUGGAAAUCCUGUAUACAAGAUUAGUUGAAUGAACUUUACUUGAAAAUAAUGAGUAAACUGUGCUUUUCUCCAUUGAAGCAACAGCAACUCGAUAAAAUCUAGUAAGAAUUGCAAAAACUUAAACUUAAGUAAAGUCAACAAAUGUAUUUAGUAUGUAUUUGAGAUAACUAUUAGUAUUUACAGUGUGUUAUCUACUGCAUAUUAACACCUACUGUGUUUGAGAGUAUCCAUAUGGCACAAUGGUGAAGUGUUUCCAGAGAAAGUGAGCAGUGAAUCAUGUUGGUUGCAUGAUGGUGCAGUAGUUCGUGCUGUUCCCCCAUGUCCUCGUGGGGUUUCCUCUGGAUUCCCCCCACAGUCUAAAAACAAACUAAGGUGAAUUUGAGUAAAGAAAAUUCCCUGUAGGUGUGAAUGGUGUGUGUGCCCUGCAAUGGGUUGGUGCCCCACCCAGAGUUUUUCCCCACUUUGUGCCGCUAGCUUCCGGGAUAGGCUCUGGUCACUGGAUGGAUGAAAAGACAAUUCCCUCUCUUAUAAAGACAUAUUUAGAAUAGGCUACGUCAGGAGCACAGCACAUGAAAAGCAACAUAUUGCCACGUGGAUAUAUAUUACACAUCUGAGUCUGGGAGCUUUCUGAAAUCUUUCUACAGGUUUUCCCUCCCACCAGUGUCUCAUCUUACUGUGCACUACAAAUCUGUCUCAUUUGGAUAAUCAUUUACAUUCCACACUGAUGCUACGGCUGGGAAGAUAUCAGUACAGACUCCUUCCUGUGAAAUAUCUCACCUCACACUCUGUGAGUGCCAGGGUGGAGUUACGUGUGAGUCAGUGCACCAUCUGUGGACUGGAUAUACAGGGUA
This is a long non-coding RNA of Paramormyrops kingsleyae, 1384 nucleotides long. RefSeq lists it as uncharacterized. The record is from RefSeq and is a predicted model, not a curated record. Lineage: Eukaryota; Metazoa; Chordata; Actinopteri; Osteoglossiformes; Mormyridae.